This 305-nucleotide ribosomal RNA is filed under the name Apanteles sp. Rodriguez18. Its description in RNAcentral is "partial 28S ribosomal RNA". It matches the Rfam family "Eukaryotic large subunit ribosomal RNA", at positions 323 to 629 of the family's 3401-position model. The record is from RNAcentral. Lineage: Eukaryota; Metazoa; Arthropoda; Insecta; Hymenoptera; Braconidae.
UUGUUACGAGACCGAUAGCGAACAAGUACCGUGAGGRAAAGUUGAAAAGAACUUUGAAGAGAGAGUUCAAGAGUACGUGAAACCGUUCAGGGGUAAACCUGUGAAACCCAAAAGAUCGAAUGGGGAGAUUCAUCGUCAGCGUAUUCAGUAUUAAUGCAGGCUAUGAUGUGAUAAUAGAAUCCUCGUGGUCACUAGAUUAUACUUGCUUGUGUUAUUUUUGCUGGGUGUGUCGGCGUGCACUUCUCCUCUAGUAGAACGUCGCAACCCGUUGGAUGUUUAUCUAUGGCCUGAUUGGNAGCCUUUGA